Molecule: small nuclear RNA, 126 nt
Organism: Monodelphis domestica (gray short-tailed opossum)
Lineage: Eukaryota; Metazoa; Chordata; Mammalia; Didelphimorphia; Didelphidae
Source: Ensembl
GCAUUAUAUGAAAGGAGAGAGGGAACAUUCCCCUUGAUAAGGAUAGAAGAUGCCCUAGUGGCCGUUACAACACAUAUAUGGCUUAGGCAUUGUCACCUACUCUGUGGCAUUUAAACAUGUUUUUAG